Molecule: long non-coding RNA, 1069 nt
Filed under: Volvox carteri
Lineage: Eukaryota; Viridiplantae; Chlorophyta; Chlorophyceae; Chlamydomonadales; Volvocaceae
Description: long non-coding RNA (VCAR_LNC001810)
Source: RNAcentral
AGCCUAGAAGCCUAACCUUCACAGGGUGCCCACUGCCUGCCCACCUUGCCCUGAACCUCCCUAGAAAUGGGCUUCCACGCGCAGAGCGGUUAUUCUACCCGGAAAGAUUUCCAGUACAAUAAGCGGCGGUGUUUGCGGUGCUCGCAAAUAGACAGCGAGGUUGCGAAUGGAACGUAAUUCGACCUACGUUUUCAGAAGUACUGGUUACGGUACUGGUUACGGUGAAGGUGGUUGCUAAGGUUGUAUGGGUCCAAGGUGAGAUGACGUUUGUUUUGGCGAGAGGGGAAUUGCAGGGAGUGUCGUUUUAAUAGAGCGGUUUAGGGUGCUUGACAGAGAUAUGGGGCGCUUUAGUUUUUGGCCAAUUUCAGGCCAACCUAGUCCUCAUUUGGAGACAGUCGGCGUGUAGGCGCACCGCUUCUCCCACCGGAGACACACCAUGAUUUCCCCCACCCGGUCCCAGUGCGCCUAUUCCUCCUCACUGUCGCUCUCAAAUUGCUGCCUUUCGUCCCGCCGAAUGUGACAGGUAGGAUGAAGGUACCGCCAUAUGGUGCACAGGGACUUCAUCUGUGCCUUCUCCAGCAGCUGGCUGAGGGGCACACCCUGCUGAAAGGCAUAUUGUAAAGAGCCACGACGAAAACUGUGACUGGUCUCUCCGCCAUCCUGACCAGAGGCACUUAGAUGGCGCUUGAGACGAGACUCCAAAGCCUCGGUUGUGAGGGGUGCCUCCUUGAAACGGUGUCCAUUGGUGUCCAAGGGCCGGAAGAGGUAGUGGGGCAGGGGGAUGUUCAAACAGGCAGAGAGGUACAGAGAGGGGGUACUGAGGCGGCAGGCCGCGGCAUCGAUGGACCUCUCCAAUAGUUGACCAGAUGCACGGACUCCACGGUAGGUUUUCGUGACCAGCUUUGCAAUCUGGAUCCGGCAGGUUGCAGGAAUUCGGCCAUCAGCACCAGGCAGAAGGAGUAGGAAGCCCUGGAAAGGAGUUUGGCUAUGAUCAUGAUCAUGAAGAUCCUACACUUGAAGCUCCCCACAGUCGUGGCCGCACAUGCAGGUGCAGCAGAGCAGAUCCCGG